RNAcentral lists this ribosomal RNA (351 nucleotides) under Triticum aestivum (bread wheat). RNAcentral describes it as "partial small subunit ribosomal RNA". The record is from RNAcentral. Lineage: Eukaryota; Viridiplantae; Streptophyta; Magnoliopsida; Poales; Poaceae.
AUGAAUGCCUGGGAGUAUCACUGCUUGUUCCAUGCUGCAUUUCAGAAUUGUUCAUUUUUGUGUUAUGACAACUUUAUUGCAUCCUGCCGAAGCCUUUUAAAAUCAUGUACCACACAAUUAGAUCGGUAUUUGAUUACUGUUACAAGAGUAUUCUUGCCACUGAUUGACUACUCCAGCUACUUUUGGUCUAGUUGGGCAUUAUUUAGAGUUCAUAUAUGUGCUUGUCACUCCAUUGGUUAUAGUGAUUCCCUCUGUUUCCUUAUAUGUUCUUGUAGUUUGGUUGCUUUCCUGUUCAUGCAUGUUUGUACAUCUAUAUAUAGUUUUGCUGUGAAUUUGUCGUGCAUGUAUUGA